CAGCCGCCACGGUAAGACAGAGGAUGCAAGCGUUAUCCGGAAUGAUUGGGCGUAAAGCGUGCGCAGGCGGUUAUAUAAGACAGAUGUGAAAUCCCCGGGCUCAACCUGGGAACUGCAUUUGUGACUGUAUAGCUAGAGUACGGCAGAGGGGGAUGGAAUUCCGCGUGUAGCAGUGAAAUGCGUAGAUAUGCGGAGGAACACCGAUGGCGAAGGCAAUCCCCUGGGCCUGUACUGACGCUCAUGCACGAAAGCGUGGGGAGCAAACAGGAUUAGAUACCCCGGUAGUCCCUGUCUCUUAUAC
Molecule: ribosomal RNA, 301 nt
Filed under: uncultured bacterium
Lineage: Bacteria
Description: partial 16S ribosomal RNA
Rfam family: Bacterial small subunit ribosomal RNA
Source: RNAcentral